UAAAGUUUGUAUCCAAGGCCAGGUGA
RNAcentral lists this non-coding RNA (26 nucleotides) under Mus musculus (house mouse). The record is from RNAcentral. Lineage: Eukaryota; Metazoa; Chordata; Mammalia; Rodentia; Muridae.